Molecule: ribosomal RNA, 202 nt
Filed under: Archaeospora sp.
Lineage: Eukaryota; Fungi; Glomeromycota; Glomeromycetes; Archaeosporales; Archaeosporaceae
Description: partial large subunit ribosomal RNA
Rfam family: Eukaryotic large subunit ribosomal RNA
Source: RNAcentral
AGUAACGGCGAGUGAAGCGGGAAUAGCUCAAAUUUUAAAUCUGGCUGGCGUGGUCGGUCCGAGUUGUAAUUUGAAGAAGCGAUUAUCACGUUUUCGUUCGGGUUCAAGUUCCUUGGAAUAGGACAUCAGAGAGGGUGAGAAUCCCGUCUGUGAUCCGAUCGGUUUCGGUACGAUAACGUUUCUAAGAGUCGAGUUGUUUGGG